This 627-nucleotide ribosomal RNA is filed under the name Triticum aestivum (bread wheat). RNAcentral's name for it is "partial small subunit ribosomal RNA". The record is from RNAcentral. Lineage: Eukaryota; Viridiplantae; Streptophyta; Magnoliopsida; Poales; Poaceae.
AUGUGCCCCGCCGAGCUCCGGUCCGGCGGCGGCGCGGCCUGCCGGAGCGCGUGCGACGCGUUCGGGCGGCCCGAGUACUGCUGCAGCGGCGCGUACGCCAACCCCGGGACGUGCCGGCCGACGUCCUACUCGCAGGUGUUCAAGAUGGCCUGCCCGCGCUCCUACAGCUACGCCUUCGACGACCCCACCUCCACCUUCACCUGCGCCGGCGGCCCCGACUACACCGUCACCUUCUGCCCCGGCGCCACCCCGAGCCAGAAGUCGACCACGGUGCCGGCGGCCACAACGCCGACGCAGACGACGCCCACGCCGACGACGGUGCCUCGGACGGAGACGCCGACAACGACGGUGCCCGGGACGGAUAUGCCGGGGAUGAUGCCGGGGAUGACGUUCACGGACGCCAACCCGGACAGCAUGCCGAUGCCGAUGGGCGGCGAGGCCGGCACUGGUGGCGGUGGCAGCAUCCAGGGGCAGGGCGUGAUCCUCGGGGGCGCCAGCAGCGACGCCUGGCUCGCCAACAUGGCCACCGGCGACGUGAGUGGCGCGGCAGCGACACCACACCCGGUAGCCUCGGCGCGGCUAGUCGCCGUGCCAUUGGCGUUGCUCGUGCUCCAUCUGCUGCGGUAG